ACCGAUAGUGAACCAGUACCGUGAGGGAAAGGCGAAAAGAACCCCGGCGAGGGGAGUGAAAAAGAACCUGAAACCGUGUACGUACAAGCAGUGGGAGCACGCUUAGGCGUGUGACUGCGUACCUUUUGUAUAAUGGGUCAGCGACUUAUAUUCUGUAGCAAGGUUAACCGAAUAGGGGAGCCGAAGGGAAACCGAGUCUUAACUGGGCGUUAAGUUGCAGGGUAUAGACCCGAAACCCGGUGAUCUAGCCAUGGGCAGGUUGAAGGUUGGGUAACACUAACUGGAGGACCGAACCGACUAAUGUUGAAAAAUUAGCGGAUGACUUGUGGCUGGGGGUGAAAGGCCAAUCAAACCGGGAGAUAGCUGGUUCUCCCCGAAAGCUAUUUAGGUAGCGCCUCGUGAAUUCAUCUCCGGGGGUAGAGCACUGUUUCGGCAAGGGGGUCAUCCCGACUUACCAACCCGAUGCAAACUGCGAAUACCGGAGAAUGUUAUCACGGGAGACACACGGCGGGUGCUAACGUCCGUCGUGAAGAGGGAAACAACCCAGACCGCCAGCUAAGGUCCCAAAGUCAUGGUUAAGUGGGAAACGAUGUGGGAAGGCCCAGACAGCCAGGAUGUUGGCUUAGAAGCAGCCAUCAUUUAAAGAAAGCGUAAUAGCUCACUGGUCGAGUCGGCCUGCGCGGAAGAUGUAACGGGGCUAAACCAUGCACCGAAGCUGCGGCAGCGACGCUGAUGCGUUGUUGGGUAGGGGAGCGUUCUGUAAGCCUGCGAAGGUGUGCUGUGAGGCAUGCUGGAGGUAUCAGAAGUGCGAAUGCUGACAUAAGUAACGAUAAAGCGGGUGAAAAGCCCGCUCGCCGGAAGACCAAGGGUUCCUGUCCAACGUUAAUCGGGGCAGGGUGAGUCGACCCCUAAGGCGAGGCCGAAAGGCGUAGUCGAUGGGAAACAGGUUAAUAUUCCUGUACUUGGUGUUACUGCGAAGGGGGGACGGAGAAGGCUAUGUUGGCCGGGCGACGGUUGUCCCGGUUUAAGCGUGUAGGCUGGUUUUCCAGGCAAAUCCGGAAAAUCAAGGCUGAGGCGUGAUGACGAGGCACUGCGGUGCUGAAGCAACAAAUGCCCUGCUUCCAGGAAAAGCCUCUAAGCAUCAGGUAACAUCAAAUCGUACCCCAAACCGACACAGGUGGUCAGGUAGAGAAUACCAAGGCGCUUGAGAGAACUCGGGUGAAGGAACUAGGCAAAAUGGUGCCGUAACUUCGGGAGAAGGCACGCUGAUAUGUAGGUGAAGUCCCUCGCGGAUGGAGCUGAAAUCAGUCGAAGAUACCAGCUGGCUGCAACUGUUUAUUAAAAACACAGCACUGUGCAAACACGAAAGUGGACGUAUACGGUGUGACGCCUGCCCGGUGCCGGAAGGUUAAUUGAUGGGGUUAGCGCAAGCGAAGCUCUUGAUCGAAGCCCCGGUAAACGGCGGCCGUAACUAUAACGGUCCUAAGGUAGCGAAAUUCCUUGUCGGGUAAGUUCCGACCUGCACGAAUGGCGUAAUGAUGGCCAGGCUGUCUCCACCCGAGACUCAGUGAAAUUGAACUCGCUGUGAAGAUGCAGUGUACCCGCGGCAAGACGGAAAGACCCCGUGAACCUUUACUAUAGCUUGACACUGAACAUUGAGCCUUGAUGUGUAGGAUAGGUGGGAGGCUUUGAAGUGUGGACGCCAGUCUGCAUGGAGCCGACCUUGAAAUACCACCCUUUAAUGUUUGAUGUUCUAACGUUGACCCGUAAUCCGGGUUGCGGACAGUGUCUGGUGGGUAGUUUGACUGGGGCGGUCUCCUCCUAAAGAGUAACGGAGGAGCACGAAGGUUGGCUAAUCCUGGUCGGACAUCAGGAGGUUAGUGCAAUGGCAUAAGCCAGCUUGACUGCGAGCGUGACGGCGCGAGCAGGUGCGAAAGCAGGUCAUAGUGAUCCGGUGGUUCUGAAUGGAAGGGCCAUCGCUCAACGGAUAAAAGGUACUCCGGGGAUAACAGGCUGAUACCGCCCAAGAGUUCAUAUCGACGGCGGUGUUUGGCACCUCGAUGUCGGCUCAUCACAUCCUGGGGCUGAAGUAGGUCCCAAGGGUAUGGCUGUUCGCCAUUUAAAGUGGUACGCGAGCUGGGUUUAGAACGUCGUGAGACAGUUCGGUCCCUAUCUGCCGUGGGCGCUGGAGAACUGAGGGGGGCUGCUCCUAGUACGAGAGGACCGGAGUGGACGCAUCACUGGUGUUCGGGUUG
This 2255-nucleotide ribosomal RNA is filed under the name Escherichia coli. Its description in RNAcentral is "partial 23S ribosomal RNA". It matches the Rfam family "Bacterial large subunit ribosomal RNA", at positions 483 to 2723 of the family's 2925-position model. The record is from RNAcentral. Lineage: Bacteria; Pseudomonadati; Pseudomonadota; Gammaproteobacteria; Enterobacterales; Enterobacteriaceae.